AUUGAACGCUGGCGGCAUGCUUUACACAUGCAAGUCGAACGGCAGCGCGGGCUUCGGCCUGGCGGCGAGUGGCGAACGGGUGAGUAAUACAUCGGAACGUGCCCAGUAGUGGGGGAUAGCUCGGCGAAAGCCGGAUUAAUACCGCAUACGACCUGAUGGUGAAAGCGGGGGAUCUUCGGACCUCGCGCUAUUUGAUCGGCCGAUGGCAGAUUAGCUAGUUGGUGGGGUAAAGGCCUACCAAGGCGACGAUCUGUAGCUGGUCUGAGAGGACGACCAGCCACACUGGGACUGAGACACGGCCCAGACUCCUACGGGAGGCAGCAGUGGGGAAUUUUGGACAAUGGGCGAAAGCCUGAUCCAGCAAUGCCGCGUGUGUGAUGAAGGCCUUCGGGUUGUAAAGCACUUUUGGCGGGAACGAAAAGGACUGUGCCAAUACCACGGUUCGAUGACGGUACCCGCAGAAUAAGCACCGGCUAACUACGUG
Molecule: ribosomal RNA, 484 nt
Filed under: uncultured bacterium
Lineage: Bacteria
Description: partial 16S ribosomal RNA
Rfam family: Bacterial small subunit ribosomal RNA
Source: RNAcentral